RNAcentral lists this unclassified non-coding RNA (237 nucleotides) under uncultured Hygrophorus. Its description in RNAcentral is "sequence contains ITS2". The record is from RNAcentral. Lineage: Eukaryota; Fungi; Basidiomycota; Agaricomycetes; Agaricales; Hygrophoraceae.
AAUACCCUCAACGGACUUUUCUUAACGGAGAAGAACGUUGGACUUGGAAUUUGCUGGAUUUCAUUUCAGCUCUUCCUAAAUACAUUAGUGUUGGCACUCUGGGCUGAACGCUUGCUGGUGUGAUAAUUCAUCAUUCACCGUAGUCAAGAUCGCAGUGAGAGUCCGAUGCUCAUAACUCCUCAAUACCUGGAUUGUGUUGUCUCAUUAGUGAUGCGCAUGAAUGGUAUAUAACAAAAA